UAGACCUGCAGGAGACAUUGAACCAAGGCCGAGGAGUGACUUCCCAGGACAACAGGGGACAGAGUCCUGCGUGUUGUGGGGAAGACAAAGCAAGACCCUCAAAUCACAGCAGUUGUGAAAAUUCUUGUGCUUAAACUGUGACAUUCUCAGAAGCUUAUCUGUUCAGAGAUCAAAGGCCAUCCCCAUCUCUUGGCUAUUGGUACAGUCUGAAUUUCCCUGGCUUUCUUCUGGCUAUCCUUGUCUCCUGUGUUGUCCACAAUUGGAGGAGUCAGCAACCCACACAAAAAUGUCACCAUGCUUCUGCCCAAUGAGCGAGUCUGAGAAACUGACAAUGGCUUGAUAUGGAAGAUAUGGCAACUUGCCUUGGAAAUUAGAAGCAAAGUUUUACUCCAAAGACUUUUACCCACAUCCGAAAGUGCUAGAUCCAGGGAAUCUUAUCUUAUGUCAUGUGGAAACAUUUAUUUGCAAACCUCAAAAGACCCUGUUUAACUCCAGAACGAAGUUUCCUAUCUCUCCUCUUUUCCCUUCUUCCUUUUUUUUCUCCUUUCUCCCACCUCCUCUCUUUUUCAAUAUUUACCAGCAUGGGGGGAAUUAGACUCAAGCAUACUUGUUGUUCUAUACAAACCACAAGCCUCUGAUGCAUUGUGCUUUCUCCGUGGUGUAUACCUCACUGCACAAACAGGUAAACACUUCAUCUCCUGGAAGAGAGGGCACUGGGAACGGGAGCCAUUGCUACAUCCUUUUCUGCUUGUGUCUGCUGCCAUGACUGAUAAAGGGGCUGCUAUGAUCAUUGACUUGGGGGCAGUUGCUAGAAUGUGUGUGUCUGCUUGUGUGUGCUUGUGCACGCCUGUACACGCACACACUUUAGAGAGGACAGAUAUAAAUGCCAUGCGAUGAUGUUUUAACCUGUAAAAUGCUCAGGCUCGUCAAGGUUUCAGGGUUGGCAGUCUAUUGAAGUCUGCAUUUCAGAAUCAUCUCUAAAUUCUGCCAUGUCUCUCCCAAUCCUACGCACUCUACAUGUGCCGUCUGCACCAAACUCACGUUAUUCGACUUGGUAUUUGGCAUCAAUGUCCAUCCCGCUUCUUGAGAAGCCCACCUUGGUCAGCAGCAGCACAUCAAUGAAAUCCAGCGUCUUGGACUUGGCCUUGGACGUAAGGAAGGCGUCCAAACCCUGAUCUGGGAGGGUGCAGCGCCGCUCCUGUAUGAUGGCGUCAGUGAAUUCAUGUACCAGCUUGCAGGCCUUACGGAAGCGCACUCCAUCGGGGGUGAGAUUGUACAGCAGGUCUGCAUGCAGCAGAGGCUGCUGGUGCCUUUUGGCCACUAGGGCACUGAGCUCCAAGAUGGCAGAAAUAUAUUCACUGAGCUUCCUGCAGGAUUUAGGUAAAGGAGGCAGCAAUUUAACAGGUGUACGUCUUGGGCCUCUUAUCACCAGCCGGGGGCCAUUGGCAAUGGAAACGGUUGGCCACAGAGGCAGAGCGGAGUGAGCCCUGAGAGUCAACUUGAUCUCACCAAACUCAUCACAUCUCUGUGACCACAUCCUAUGUCCCCAACCCACAGUGUGGACACCUCUCAAUACUGACUUGCCAUGAAGACACCAGAAUCCAGAUUUGUCGUUCUUCCAACGAGGGCUGAGGACCAGUGCUUCUUCAGGUACCCUCCAGGUUUUGAACUGCUGAGAUAUCCGCCUUCACGAACUGAGAAACUAUAAGGUUCUCAACUUCUUCACCGUAACGACUCAGCCGGGAUAGUGUGAGACAUGCUAACAAAUCCCGAGUGAUGUAUUUUCAUUGUAUUGUUUCUGCCCCUUUGGAGGACCAUGACAACCACUGUGGUCUACACAGAGCAUGUCAACUUCCUGAAUAUAGGUGAUCUCAGCGUCUCCCAUCAGCGUGCUGCUAUCCUCAGCAGUUUGGGCCAGAGUCCUGGGUGCCACAUGGGAGACACAGUGAUGGCAUCCAGAGGAGAGAAGAUGCCCAUUUAACAGAAGAACUAACUGCCAUUCAAGGAGGGCAAGCCCCCAGCCCAGAUCAUAUGAACCCUCUAAAACAGCCUGGAACCUGCCCAGACUUACUCUGUGCUUGGUCCCAGAGAGCCAGGGCUCAAACUCCUAGCUGAGCUGGUAUGACAGAAAGGGAGUGGGGAGGGGGGGCAUCAGGGCUCCUGACACUGGUAGGAUGUUAGGAACACUUGCCUCUACCUGCCUCAUUGCCACUUCAGUUCAGUCAGCAAGACGGUCAGGAGUCUAUCUCUAGAGCCCUCCGAAGGGUGAUAGGUGCCCUCUCCAGAAUCCUCACUGCAGCCCCUCAUGUACACACGCAUUGAGUCCAUGAAGACUUUUUCCAGCCAGCUGUUAUCAAACUGUCCUAAACAGGGAUCAUUCUCCACAGUCAGGAGACAAACAGAAGCCGGCACAAGAGUAUUGGAAGAACUAUCCUGGCAUUUGUAACAGUGUUUCAGGGACCCACAGGCACCCAUCCCCCAACUUUCCAUGCGCACUGCAGUGCUCAGCAGAAUCUUCAAAGUCUGUUCAGAGCAGGAAAUGAAACAGCGUAACAAACAAGGUAUAGGUUACUCCAAGAAACAGUUUCCUCUAUCAAAAGCAAAGAAUGGAGUAUUUCCUGGUGAAAAAAAGAAUUAUAUUUUAAAAAAUGAUGGACACCAUAAAAUGUGUUU
Meriones unguiculatus (Mongolian gerbil) is the source of this 2673-nucleotide long non-coding RNA. RefSeq lists it as uncharacterized. Lineage: Eukaryota; Metazoa; Chordata; Mammalia; Rodentia; Muridae. The record is from RefSeq and is a predicted model, not a curated record. The transcript is spliced from 3 exons.